RNAcentral lists this ribosomal RNA (348 nucleotides) under Isochrysis galbana. RNAcentral's name for it is "partial Bacterial small subunit ribosomal RNA". It matches the Rfam family "Bacterial small subunit ribosomal RNA", at positions 410 to 773 of the family's 1533-position model. Lineage: Eukaryota; Haptophyta; Isochrysidales; Isochrysidaceae. The record is from RNAcentral.
GAAGUAUCUUGGUAUGUAAACCUCUUUUCUCAAGAAAGAAGUUCUGACGGUACUUGAGGAAUAAGCAUCGGCUAACUCCGUGCCAGCAGCCGCGGUAAUACGGAGGGAUCGAACGUUAAUCGGAAUUACUGGGCGUAAAGCGCGCGUAGGCGGUUUGGUCAGUCGGAUGUGAAAGCCCUGGGCUCAACCUGGGAACUGCAUUCGAUACUGCCAAGCUAGAAUAUGGGAGAGGGAAGUGGAAUUUCCGGUGUAGCGGUGAAAUGCGUAGAUAUCGGAAGGAACACCAGUGGCGAAGGCGGCUUCCUGGCCCAAUAUUGACGCUGAGGUGCGAAAGCGUGGGGAGCAAAC